AGCUAAUAGAUACCCCGGUAGUCCACGCCCUAAACGAUGUCUACUAGUUGUUGGAGGAGUAAAAUCCAUGAGUAAACGCAGCUAAACGCGUGAAGUAGACCGCCUGGGGAGUACGGUCGCAAGAUUAAAAACUCAAAGGAAUUGACGGGGGCCCGCACAAGCGGUGGAUUAUGUGGAUUAAAUUCGAUGCAACGCGAAAAACCUUACCUGGCCUUGACAUGCCACUAACGAAGCAGAGAUGCAUUAGGUGCCCGUAAGGGAAAGUGGACACAGGUGCUGCAUGGCUGUCGUCAGCUCGUGUCGUGAGAUGUUGGGUUAAGUCCCGCAACGAGCGCAACCCUUGCCAUUAAUUGCCAUCAUUUAGUUGGGCACUUUAAUGGGACUGCCGGUGACAAACCGGAGGAAGGUGGGGAUGACGUCAAGUCCUCAUGGCCCUUAUGGCCAGGGCUUCACACGUAAUACAAUGGUCGGUACAGAGAGUUGCCAACCCGCCGAGGGGAGCUAAUCUCAGAAAGCCGAUCGUAGUCCGGAUUGUUCU
RNAcentral lists this ribosomal RNA (538 nucleotides) under uncultured bacterium. RNAcentral describes it as "bacterial SSU rRNA". It matches the Rfam family "Bacterial small subunit ribosomal RNA", at positions 774 to 1304 of the family's 1533-position model. The record is from RNAcentral.